AUACGGAGGGUCCAAGCGUUAUCCGGAAUCAUUGGGUUUAAAGGGUCCGCAGGCGGUCAAUUAAGUCAGAGGUGAAAGCCCAUCGCUCAACGAUGGAACUGCCUUUGAUACUGGGUGACUUGAGUUAUACGGAAGUAGAUAGAAUAAGUAGUGUAGCGGUGAAAUGCAUAGAUAUUACUUAGAAUACCGAUUGCGAAGGCAGUCUACUACGUAUAUACUGACGCUGAGGGACGAAAGCGUGGGGAGCGAACAGGAUUAGAUACCCUAGUAGUCC
RNAcentral lists this ribosomal RNA (274 nucleotides) under uncultured bacterium. RNAcentral describes it as "partial 16S ribosomal RNA". It matches the Rfam family "Bacterial small subunit ribosomal RNA", at positions 523 to 796 of the family's 1533-position model. The record is from RNAcentral.